ACCUCUGAGGCGCAAUCAGUGUGUUCAAUUGUUAAACAACAGGGCGAUAGUUCAAGGGCACCCAGGCAAGAGUGAUUGCUGUUUUCACUUCACCACUUUUCUAACGUCAAGAGCUGCAGAUUUGGGGAAUCUCAAAAAGAAACAAAAACUGCUGGAGAAACUCAACAGGAUUGGAAGUACCUGUGAGUAGAUUUGAGCAGCUGAAUGGCUUUCUCCUGUUCCUGUGUAACAUACUUGAGAGAAUGAAUAGCUGGGUUAUUAACAGCCAUGAAACUGGAUCUGAUGGAGGUUCCUCCUGCCUGAGUUACAGAAAAACAAACAACACAAUGUA
Molecule: long non-coding RNA, 331 nt
Organism: Stegostoma tigrinum
Lineage: Eukaryota; Metazoa; Chordata; Chondrichthyes; Orectolobiformes; Stegostomatidae
Exons: 3
Source: RefSeq, a predicted model, not a curated record